UACGUAGGGUGCGAGCGUUGUCCGGAAUUAUUGGGCGUAAAGGGCUCGUAGGCGGUCUGUCACGUCGGGAGUGAAAACUCAGGGCUUAACCCUGAGCCUGCUUCCGAUACGGGCAGACUAGAGGUAUGCAGGGGAGAACGGAAUUCCUGGUGUAGCGGUGAAAUGCGCAGAUAUCAGGAGGAACACCGGUGGCGAAGGCGGAUCUCUGGGCCUUACCUGACGCUGAGGAGCGAAAGCUGGGGGAGCAAACAGG
This 253-nucleotide ribosomal RNA is filed under the name uncultured bacterium. Its description in RNAcentral is "partial 16S ribosomal RNA". It matches the Rfam family "Bacterial small subunit ribosomal RNA", at positions 524 to 776 of the family's 1533-position model. The record is from RNAcentral.